Long non-coding RNA from Ictalurus punctatus (channel catfish), 4158 nucleotides. NCBI's taxonomy places the organism in Eukaryota, Metazoa, Chordata, Actinopteri, Siluriformes, Ictaluridae. The record is from Ensembl.
CGGGUCUUUCGUGUAAAAGAGUGUAUUCUCAGUGGAAUCAAAUGGAAAAAAUAAACGCACAAUUAAAGCUGUUCAGGAUGUGCAGGAGAUUAAAAAUUCUCCUGUGAUGGACUACUGCUAAUCAGUAUCAUAGCCUGCUGUGUAAUGAGGAGUGAAACUUGAUUGAUCUCAGCACCUUUCUUCCUGUCACAUUGCAAGAACAGUGUCUCGCUAUUUAUACAGCAUGUCAUUGUACUCGCUAACGUGAUAAUAGUUUCUAACAUUAAGCUGAUUAUAUACAGCUGCAAUCAAAAUGAUUCGACCCCCAUUGCAAAUCAGGUUUAUUGUCAAAAUUGACAAACUUUCAGCUGUUUGCAACGAACAAAUCAAACAAAAGCAAUUGCGGUUUCCCCAAAUUCAACUGGAAAUGCAACUUUCCAAGGCGUGGUUGCAGAAGAAGUCCUGGAAAAUUCUACAGGGCCAUCACGGUCAUCUGACUUGAACCCCAUAGAAGAUCUCUGGUGGGAUUUGAAGAAGGCGGUUGCAGCGCACAAACCAAAGAAUAUUACUGAACCGGAGGCCAUUGCUCAUGAGGAAUGGGCUAAGAUUCCUCAGGAACACUGCCAGAAGCUCUGCAUCUCGUAUUCAGCAGAACAUAACAGCAAAAAUGUGCUCUACUAAGUACUAAAGAUGCUUGCCAUGAAGGGGUUGAAUAGUUUUAUAAACUGGAGAAAUCAUUCUAAGUUGCAUUUUUCAGUUGAAUUUGGGGAAACCACUUGAAGCAUUCAUUGUGUUGAACUAUUUCAAUUGUUUGAUUUGUUCAUUGCAAACAGCUGAAAGUGUGAGAAUUUUGACAGUAAAUCUGAUUUGCAAUGGGGGUUGAAUAAUUUUGAUUGCAACUGUAGAAACGGCUCAUUUAUCAUGUUAACUCUGGAUCAAAUAUAUUUUGGCACUGGUGCUGUAAAAUGGUUGUAUAUCUCCCUGAUGUUCCAGUUAAGAAAACAAACAAAACAAAAAGUGUUAUAUGGCACCGAUGAUGGAUGUGAUGUGUAGACCUAAAUGUUGGUGCUAAAACCAGUGCGUUCAGUCCACAGUAGGACGGGUCGAGUGAAUGUCAGAACGGUGUGUUGGUGUGAUUCGAUGAGAAGCUACAUGUUUGGGAAUCCUAUCAUUUAAAACCAUUCUGGUGCACCUCCUGCCCUUUCCAGCUCUCCUGCUUGUUGUUGCUAUGACAGUGACAUAUGAAGAUAAUAACUGCAGUUAGAGUGCAACGUCUUUGUACACAGAAGGUGCUUGGUUGUUUUCUGGGGAUUCAAAAUACGUGAUGUCGGCAAAGUUCCAUCGGAAAAUAGAGAUCGAGAUGGAGUUUAGUCAGAUUGGUGCAGUUUUUUUUGUUUGUUUUUUUUCUUUGUUCAGGUCAAAACACAGCAAUCGCAGUGGGUGUGUGCCAAAACAGCCGGUCUGAGCAUCUGGAGUGUGCGAGGUGGACUCGCUCUGCUUCCAAGUCAACUCCAGGAUGGUUCAUUUGCAGUGAGAAAGCGAUUCGACUCUGAAUCACUUCACUUACUGCCAUGUGUUUUGGGUUGCAGGUAGAAUUAUUUUGUAGAUGCAAAGGUGCAAACUGAGCCAAAGAACACAAAUUUAGCAACUGUGGCUCAGGUGGUAGAGCGGGUUGUCCACUAAUCGUAGGGUUGGCAGUUUGAUUCCCGGCCCACGUGACUCCACAGCCCAAAGUGUCCUCGGGCAAGACACUGAACUCCAAGUUGCUCCCCAUGGCAAGUUAGCGCCUUGCAUGGCAGCUCUGCUACCAUUGGUGUGAGUGUGUGUGUGUGUGUGUGUGAGUGUGUGUGUGAGUGUGUGAGUGUGUGUGUGUGUGUGAGUGUGUGAGUGUGUGUGUGAGUGUGUGUGAGUGUGUGUGUGAGUGUGUGUGUGUGUGAGUGUGUGUGUGUGAGUGUGUGUGUGUGAGUGUGUGUGUGUGAGUGUGUGUGUGUGAGUGUGUGUGUGUGAGUGUGUGUGUGUGAGUGUGUGAGUGAGUGUGUGAGUGAGUGUUUGUGUGAGUGAGUGUGUGAGUGAGUGAGUGAGUGAGUGGAGUGAUGUGAGUGAGUGAGUGUGUGAGUGUGAGUGUGUGAGUGUGUGUGUGUGUGUGUGAGAGUGUGUGUGUGUGAGUGAGUGUGUGUGUGUGAGUGAGUGUGUGUGUGUGAGUGUGUGUGUGUGAGUGUGUGUGUGUGAGUGUGUGUGUGUGAGUGUGUGUGUGUGAGAGUGUGUGUGUGAGAGUGUGUGUGUGAGAGUGUGUGUGUGAGAGUGUGUGUGAGAGUGUGUGUGUGAGAGUGUGUGUGUGAGAGUGUGUGUGUGAGAGUGUGUGUGUGAGAGUGUGUGUGUGAGAGUGUGUGUGUGAGAGUGUGUGUGUGUGAGAGUGUGUGUGUGUGAGUGAGUGUGUGUGUGUGAGUGAGUGUGUGUGUGUGAGUGUGUGUGUGUGAGUGUGUGUGUGUGUGUGAAUGGGUGAACGAGACACCGUGUAAAGCGCUUUGGAAGCGCUAAUGUUAAAAAAGCGCUAUAUACGUGCAGACCAUUUAGUGCUGCAGAAACGGACCCCAUUGUGGUAAACAAAAUGUUUACAGUUAGUUCAUUGUAUAAUUAAAUAAUUUAAUUCAAUUGAAAGUUAUUGAGUGCCAGUAAUAUUUGCCGAAGUAAUAUUUGUGAUCCGUAUGCACCACUGACGAAUGUCUGUUUGCCGUUUUCUGCCGUUAAAUCUCUGACGAAUGAACGGAAGAGUUCUGUGAGUACAUUUUCAGCCCUACGUGACCAAAUAGCAAAUGAACUAAAAGUGUCCUUUGAUUUGGGUUCAAGCAACCGACUAGUCAUUGUUUCUAUAGCAUGUAUAUCCAAGAAAAAAACUAAACUGCAGCUCUCCAUAGAGCGAUUUUGUGGCUGAGGGAAAAGAACGAUGCUUAUUAAAAACCCUGAAAUGGCCUUCAACCAUCAAAACAAAAAAAAAGGUUCACUGAUAAAACCAUUAAUAACUUAAAUCACUUUGAUAAAAUCGAAAAGAAACCAGAGAAACGUCUAAUCGUGCAAGCUUUCUAAAUAAAGGAUUGACAUUUGUAUGUGUCAAACGGCCAUCUUAGGAAUUCUGGAAGUCAUGCUGGACUUACAUCAACAGCACUGCAAUCUGUGCAUCUUUAGAGUACGACAAGGGAGAGUACGGGGUAAAGCGUCUUGCUCUAGUUGUUAUUACAUAGCUUUUAUAGGAAAGGGCUCCGGGGGAAUUUGUAGAGAGAGUGGAAAGGGAAUGGUGCUCAUAACCACGAUAAAAGCUCUCCUGGGGCCGGAGAGACACUUUAAGUCCACUGACCAUCAUGAUCAGACUGAGAUUUCAUGGCAAUGAGUUGUCUUUCAUAAAAAUCCAUGAUGGAAGAAAUUGUUUCCAGUUCUACAGGGAGGCGCUCGGGGUACUCUCAGUCUCUCUGGCUCUUUCCAAUACCCUACAUGAGCAGUUAUCCCCGAGCAUUUUAUUCUAUUAUUUAUUUUAUUUCUUCAGAUUAAUACUUGAUUCCGCUUAAAUACGUAACUGAAUUUUGUCAGCCACUGUUAUUUAUUUAAAUGAGUCAGACGUGUCGGUGAACAAGAGGCAUGUCGGGAGUUCAUGUUGAAUUCGUAUUGCGUGCACAUAUUUCAUUCAGAUCUUACCGCCGCCUCCACUGAAUCGUGCAUUUUUGCAUUAGAGUUAAGCAAACACUUUAAUCGAGCCACUUAAUUAGCCGACGCCGAGCACUAUAAACGAUGCUGUGGUAAAAUGAAGUGAUUGUGAAUGGUUGAAAUGUCAUGUUGAGAGUGCCGUGUUUUGUAAAGUGCCUAAUUCCCGCAGUCUGAGGUUUAUGUGGGAUGAUGCUACAGUGUCCCCUCUGAUUACUAUAAAUCUUUAUCACUUGCCUGCUGGCAAUAGACUGCUCGUGUGAAGAGGGCUACCAGUUUAGGUUCUUGCCAGCCAUAAAAAAAAAAAAAAAAACCCACACCUGGCUAGCAUGAUCUUGGCUGCUUUCAAUAGUUUACAUGCUAUGUUAUAUUUCAAAAUCCCACCACCAUUAUUUUCAAUUAUGACCGUGGACGAUUAUUAUUAAUUGCCUUAAUUCAUUUUGAAGGGAACAAUUGUCAGAGUAUAACCAGCAAAUUAGACCGUCA